This 1357-nucleotide long non-coding RNA is filed under the name Mus musculus (house mouse). RNAcentral describes it as "RIKEN cDNA 2610307P16 gene". The record is from RNAcentral. Lineage: Eukaryota; Metazoa; Chordata; Mammalia; Rodentia; Muridae.
GGGACUUGGAACAAAAGGGGAAACUCUGAUGAACUCCUUCUCCAGCUCCCUGGACGCCCGAGUAUCUCUUUCUCGCAACUUUGUCAACGCGACUUUCUCCGCUGUCAGGCUGCGCAAAAGUAUCCUAGCGCCUCGCAGGCUGCAACAAUGGAAACAAUGUCCCUUCAAAGUGCGACGAAGUGGAGGGAGAAGGUGUCAUACCAGCGACUCCAAGAGUCAUGUCACCCACUUAGCAGGAGUACUUCUACUGAAAUGCCUUCGAAUUUCUCUUACUGGAUAUAUACCUACCAGCCGCUAGCAUGAAGAUGCCAGGACCGCUGCAAGUUAGCACUGGACAAAGUAGCAUCAACUUCUUCAUUUAGAGUUUCUUCAGUUAAAUUGCUGGGAUUUUCGACAAGGCUUUCCUUAUGUGGAUUAUUGGAGUGUGAUGCCCGAGAAUUCUCUACUUGUAGAAGCACGCCCACGGGACUGCAGAAGCCUUCACACCCACCCAGCACGCUCAGAAAGUACUGUCUUCAACCUUACCAAUGUCAGUGGCGGCGACGGUGGCGUCACCAUCACCAUCAGAGAAAAAGAAAUAUGCCUUUAUGUCAUGAUGGGAAUGAGUGAUGGCCAUCCAGUGACCAGCUGGAUCUGACUGCCUUACAAGACGCAUGUGUAUGAUUAAGAGAGAGACAUUCGUGACUCCCAGAUGUACCUCCUUCCUGUCCCACAGUGUUCCUGAAGGGAGUGAGUUAUGGGGUAACUUAUAACACAGCAGGCUCUUCCUCAAGAUAGCUCUUGUCAAAACAGGAAGACGAAACUCGGGUUUCCAUGAGGAGACCACAGCUUGGGAUCCUGUCUGGAUGUACAAGCAGAAGCAUCUUCAUACUUUUCCAUUUCUAACCAUCAUGCCUCACCCCACCCUCCCAAGGCGACAUCUGCAGAGAGGAGAAUGAGGAGGAAGAGGAGGAGAAAGAGGAGGAGGAAGUAAGACAGAGGGGGACAAGAGGACCAAGAGGGCACAUGGCUGAGGAGGAGGAGAACAACAACAACAACAACAACAACAACAACAACAAGAAGCUUGGUGGUGAAACUUGGAAGCCCUCUCCAGGAUGCAGCAGGUAGCUGAGGAGAAAACGAAGACUGACCAGCCCAGAGCUCAGAGCUUCCUCCCAUGCUCAGGAUUUACCACCAAUGCCAUUACAUCGGCCUCUUCUUGUAUGCCUCUGGAAACCACAUGUGUCCUCUGUUUGUAAUGGUUUGGCUAUGGUUGCUGGCCCCUCUUGGACAUUGUUUUCAGAACUUAAAGAAACAUUGCUUUAAAGAUUUAUUAGAACAUAUUUAAAAUAAAACCAUCUUCUCAUUUAGUAUGCAA